RNAcentral lists this ribosomal RNA (28 nucleotides) under Telopathes cf. magna MBM286483. RNAcentral describes it as "partial 28S ribosomal RNA". Lineage: Eukaryota; Metazoa; Cnidaria; Anthozoa; Antipatharia; Schizopathidae. RNAcentral also lists the same sequence under 1 other name. The record is from RNAcentral.
CUCGGCCUCAGAUCAGACAAGGCUACCC